AAGCAAUAAGUAAUCCACCUGGGGAGUACGAUCGCAAGAUUGAAACUCAAAGGAAUUGACGGGGGCCCGCACAAGCGGAGAAGCAUGUGGUUUAAUUCGAUGAUACGCGAGGAACCUUACCUGGGCUCGAACGUGAGAUGACUAUGGGUGAAAGCUCAUAUCUCUUCGGAGCAUUUUACGAGGUGCUGCAUGGUUGUCGUCAGCUCGUGCCGUGAGGUGUCGGGUUAAGUCCCAUAACGAGCGCAACCCCUACCUUUAGUUGCCAACAGGUCAUGCUGGGGACUCUAAAGGAACUGCCUACGCAAGUAGUGAGGAAGGCGGGGAUGACGUCAAAUCAGCNCGGCCCUUACGUCCAGGGCUACACACGUGCUACAAUGGCCGAUACAGAGGGCAGCUACCUGGUGACAGGAUGCAAAUCUCGAAAGUCGGUCUCA
This 434-nucleotide ribosomal RNA is filed under the name uncultured bacterium. RNAcentral's name for it is "bacterial SSU rRNA". It matches the Rfam family "Bacterial small subunit ribosomal RNA", at positions 855 to 1290 of the family's 1533-position model. The record is from RNAcentral.